CCAGUAAACGGCGGCCGUAACUAUAACGGUCCUAAGGUAGCGAAAUUCCUUGUCAGGUAAGUUCUGACCCGCACGAAUGGUGUAAUGAUUUGGGCACUGUCUCAACAGCCCGCCCGGCGAAAUUGUAGUACCGGUGAAGAUGCCGGUUUCCCGCGACAAGACGGAAAGACCCCAUGGAGCUUUACUGCAGCCUAAUAUUGGGUUUCGAUAUUACAUGUACAGGAUAUGUGGGAGACAUGGAAGCACGGGCGUCAGCCUGUGUGGAGUCAGCCUUGGGAUACCACACUUGUGAUAUUGGAAUUCUAACCUGCGACCCUGAAUCGGGUCGGGGGACAUUGUUAGGCGGGCAGUUUGACUGGGGCGGUCGCCUCCGAAAAAGUAACGGAGGCGUUCAAAGGUUGGCUCAGCUUGGACGGAAACCAAGCCAAAGAGUGCAAACGCAUAAGCCAGCCUAACUGCGAGACUGACGGGUCGAGCAGUAACGAAAGUUGGAGUUAGUGAUCCGGCGGUAUGUGAGUGGAAAUGCCGUCGCUCAACGGAUAAAAGUUACCCUGGGGAUAACAGGCUGAUCUCCCCCAAGAGUCCACAUCGACGGGGAGGUUUGGCACCUCGAUGUCGGCUCAUCGCAUCCUGGGGCUGUAUUCGGUCCCAAGGGUUUGGCUGUUCGCCAAUUAAAGCGGUACGCGAGCUGGGUUCAGAACGUCGUGAGACAGUUCGGUCCCUAUCUGUCGUGGGCGCAGGAUAUUUGAAAGGCGCUGUCCCUAGUACGAGAGGACCGGGAUGGACGAACCUCUGGUGCACCAGUUGUCACGCCAGUGGCACAGCUGGGCAGCUAUGUUCGGAUCGGAUAAACGCUGAAAGCAUCUAAGCGUGAAGCCGGCCUGGAGAUAAGAUAUCCCACUGAGAUAAUCAGGUAAGACCCCUUGAAGACUACAAGGUUGAUAGGCUCAAAGUGUAAGCACGGUGACGUGUUCAGCUAGCGAGUACUAAUCGGUCGAGGGCUUGACCAC
Molecule: ribosomal RNA, 1010 nt
Filed under: human gut metagenome
Description: bacterial LSU rRNA
Rfam family: Bacterial large subunit ribosomal RNA
Source: RNAcentral